RNAcentral lists this ribosomal RNA (612 nucleotides) under Triticum aestivum (bread wheat). Its description in RNAcentral is "partial small subunit ribosomal RNA". The record is from RNAcentral. Lineage: Eukaryota; Viridiplantae; Streptophyta; Magnoliopsida; Poales; Poaceae.
AUGGACUACGUCGGGACCGACCUCCACGCUUUCCUGUCCGAGAGGCCGCCGCUCCCGGAGGCCAUCGUGAAAGCCUACAUGUGGCAGCUCCUCACCGGCGCCAACAAGAUGCACAGCAAGCAUCACAUCCUCCACCGCGAUAUCAAGCCCCACAACAUCCUCGUCGGGGAAGGAGGAACGAUCCUCAAGUUUUGCGACCUUGGGCUGGCCAUGUCCUUGAAGACCGCGAGGAAGCCUUACGAGUUUGCCGGCACCGUGCCCUACAUGGCGCCCGAGAUGCUCCUCGGGAAGCCGGACUACGACGCGGGCGUCGACGUGUGGUCGCUGGGAUGCGUCAUGGCCGAGAUGCUCACCGGCGAGAUGCUGUUCAAGGCCGACAAAAAGGACGACAGGAUCGCCCAGCUCUCGGCUAUCUUCGGCGUUCUCGGCCUCCCGGACGAGAGGACGUGGCCGGAGUUCGUCGCGGCCAAGGUGCCGCGAGUGUUCUACGCGCAGGCGCAGCAGCACAACACGCUGGGGAACCUCUUCCCCCGUGAGACCUUGUCCAAGGACGGCUUCCAAGUCUUGAAAGGGCUUCUCUCCUUCUCGAGUGCAACCCAGCUAAGCGGCUGA